GACGAACGCUGGCGGCGUGCCUAAUACAUGCAAGUCGAACGAAGCUUUUUUAACUGGUGCUUGCACCGACUUAAACAACUGAGUGGCGAACGGGUGAGUAACACGUGGGUAACCUGCCCCAAAGCGGGGGAUAACAUUUGGAAACAGAUGCUAAUACCGCAUAACCACAGAAACACAUGGUUUCUGUGUCAAAGAUGGUUUCGGCUAUCACUUUGGGAUGGACCCGCGGCGUAUUAGCUAGUUGGUAAGGUAAUGGCUUACCAAGGCAAUGAUCCGUAGACGAACUGAGAGGGUGAACGGCUACAUUGGGAGUGAGACACGGCCCAAACUCCUACGGGAGGCAGCAGUAGGGAAUCUUCCACAAUGGACGAAAGUCUGAUGGAGCAACGCCGCGUGAGUGAAGAAGGUUUUCGGAUCGUAAAACUCUGUUGUCAGAGAAGAACGUGUGCGAGAGUAACUGUUCGUGCAGUGACGGUAUCUGGCCAGAAAGCCACGGCUAACUACGUGCCAGCCGCCGCCGUAA
This 523-nucleotide ribosomal RNA is filed under the name uncultured bacterium. RNAcentral's name for it is "partial 16S ribosomal RNA". It matches the Rfam family "Bacterial small subunit ribosomal RNA", at positions 28 to 523 of the family's 1533-position model. The record is from RNAcentral.